UAAUAAUAAUAAAAUAUUAAAUAUUCUCUUGUGUAUUUUAUUUGGUACAUCUACCGAAAAUAUCUUACUGUAGGCUGCAGAUAUGAAUCCGAUGAUGCCUUCUCCGGCGAUGGUGAUAGUGACGGCGACGACGAUCUCUCCGAUAGCGGCGGAAGAAGGAAUUGGGCACACAUUAGUGAGAGAGAGAGGGAGUGAGAGAAGGAGGCGAUGGUGUAUAGCUAAAGAUGAGAAAUAAAGAAUUGAUGAACAAAUCGAAGAUAAAGGAUUGAAAGUUCAGUGGAAGGAGGAAAAUGGGCCAUGAUGAAUAAUUGGAGAUAGAGGUUAGGAUCGUAGAUAGUAGUAGGACCAUUUAAAUAUAUUAAUUGAAAGUUUGGUAGUAGAACCAUUUACAUUAAUUGAAAGUAUAGUGGAGGGAAGGUAGUGGGACCAUUUAAAUGUACUAAUUGAAAGUUUGAUUAAUGAGACCGUUAAAAUGUAUAUUGAAAAUUUAGUGAACAUGAUGAAUAAUUGGAUAUAGAGAGAUUAGGAUCGUAGAUAGUAGUAGGACCAUUUAAAUAUACUAAUUGAAAGUUUGGUAGUGAAACCAUUUACAUUAAUUGAAAAUAUAGUGGAGGGAAGGUAAUGGAACCAUUUAAAUGCACUAAUUGAAAGUUUGUUUAAUGGGACCAUUAAAAUGCAUAUUGAAAAUUUAGUGAUGGAAAGAAGAAGAGUUACAUUAGUGAGGGUGAAGAAAAACUUGCCACAUGGCAACAAAUAUUGAGGAUUCAUAUAGUUUAAUAGAUAGUUGGAAUAUUUAUU
This 798-nucleotide long non-coding RNA is filed under the name Ananas comosus (pineapple). RNAcentral's name for it is "long non-coding RNA (ACOM_LNC032318)". Lineage: Eukaryota; Viridiplantae; Streptophyta; Magnoliopsida; Poales; Bromeliaceae. The record is from RNAcentral.